Molecule: ribosomal RNA, 245 nt
Filed under: uncultured bacterium
Lineage: Bacteria
Description: partial 16S ribosomal RNA
Rfam family: Bacterial small subunit ribosomal RNA
Source: RNAcentral
GGGCUAGCGUUGUUCGGAAUUACUGGGCGUAAAGCGUGUGUAGGUGGUUGUCAUAGUCAGGGGUGAAAGCCUUGAGCUCAACUCAAGAAAUGCGCUUGAUACUGGGCAGCUAGAGGACCGGAGAGGAUAGUGGAAUUCCCAGUGUAGUGGUGAAAUACGUAGAGAUUGGGAAGAACACCAGUGGCGAAGGCGGCUAUCUGGACGGUUUCUGACACUAAGACUCGAAAGCGUGGGGAGCAAACAGG